GAUGAAGAACGCAGCGAAAUGCGAUACGUAAUGUGAAUUGCAGAAUUCAGUGAAUCAUCGAAUCUUUGAACGCACAUUGCGCCCGCCAGUAUUCUGGCGGGCAUGCCUGUUCGAGCGUCAUUUCAACCCUCAAGACCCCUUCGGGGGACUUGGUGUUGGGGACCGGCACAGGGGCCUGCCUGCUUGUCUUGCAGCGCCCUCGCCGCCCCCGAAAUGAAUUGGCGGCCUCGUCGCGGCCUCCCCUGCGUAGUAGCACAACCUCGCAACGGGAACGUGACGGCGGCCACUGCCGUAAAACAACCCCAAUUUUAUUAGAGUUGACCUCGAAUCAGGUAGGAAUACCCGCUGAACUUAAGCAUAUCAAUAAGCGGAGGA
This 375-nucleotide unclassified non-coding RNA is filed under the name soil metagenome. RNAcentral describes it as "partial contains 5.8S ribosomal RNA, internal transcribed spacer 2, and large subunit ribosomal RNA". The stretch from base 1 to 120 matches the Rfam family "5.8S ribosomal RNA", at positions 35 to 154 of the family's 154-position model. The record is from RNAcentral.